GGCUUAAUACAUGCAAGUCGAGGGGCAGCGGGGGUAGCAAUACCUGCCGGCGACCGGCAAACGGGUGCGGAACACGUACGCAACUUUCCCAAAACUGGUGAAUAGCCUUCCGAAAGGGAGAUUAAUACACCGUAAGAUGUAGGAGUGGCAUCACUCUUAUAUUAUAGCUCCGGCGGUUUUGGAUGGGCGUGCGGCUGAUUAGGUAGUUGGCGGGGUAACGGCCCACCAAGCCUGCGAUCAGUAACUGGUGUGAGAGCACGACCAGUCACACGGGCACUGAGACACGGGCCCGACUCCUACGGGAGGCAGCAGUAAGGAAUAUUGGUCAAUGGACGCAAGUCUGAACCAGCCAUGCCGCGUGCAGGAUGACGGCCCUCUGGGUUGUAAACUGCUUUUAUAGGGGACGAAAAAAGGGCUUUCUAGCUCGUCUGACGGUACCCUAGGAAUAAGCACCGGCUAACUCCGUGCCAGCAGCCGCGGUAAUACGGAGGGUGCAAGCGUUAUCCGGAUUUACUGGGUUUAAAGGGUGCGUAGGUGGGUCGGUAAGUCAGCGGUGAAAUCUUCGAGCUUAACUCGGAAACUGCCAUUGAUACUAUCGAUCUUGAAUCAUCUAGAGGUAAGCGGAAUAUGUCAUGUAGCGGUGAAAUGCUUAGAUAUGACAUAGAACACCAAUUGCGAAGGCAGCUUACUAUGGAUGUAUUGACACUGAGGCACGAAAGCGUGGGGAUCAAACAGGAUUAGAUACCCUGGUAGUCCACGCCCUAAACGAUGGAUACUCGACAUCAGCGAUACACUGUUGGUGUCUGAGCGAAAGCAUUAAGUAUCCCACCUGGGAAGUAC
This 840-nucleotide ribosomal RNA is filed under the name uncultured bacterium. RNAcentral's name for it is "bacterial SSU rRNA". It matches the Rfam family "Bacterial small subunit ribosomal RNA", at positions 45 to 883 of the family's 1533-position model. The record is from RNAcentral.